Molecule: unclassified non-coding RNA, 336 nt
Filed under: soil metagenome
Description: partial contains 5.8S ribosomal RNA, internal transcribed spacer 2, and large subunit ribosomal RNA
Rfam family: 5.8S ribosomal RNA (bases 1-120)
Source: RNAcentral
GAUGAAGAACGAAGCGAAAUGCGAUAAGUAAUGUGAAUUGCAGAAUUCAGUGAAUCAUCGAAUCUUUGAACGCACAUUGCGCCCGCCAGUAUUCUGGCGGGCAUGCCUGUUCGAGCGUCAUUUCAACCAUCAAGCCCCAGGCUUGUGUUGGGGACCUGCGGCUGCCGCAGGCCCUGAAAACCAGUGGCGGGCUCGCUGUCACACCGGGCGUAGUAGAUUUUAUCUCGCUCAGGGCGUGCUGCGGGUUCCGGCCGUUAAAAAGCCUUUUUUACCCAAGGUUGACCUCGGAUCAGGUAGGAAGACCCGCUGAACUUAAGCAUAUCAAUAAGCGGAGGA